This 484-nucleotide ribosomal RNA is filed under the name uncultured bacterium. RNAcentral's name for it is "partial 16S ribosomal RNA". It matches the Rfam family "Bacterial small subunit ribosomal RNA", at positions 30 to 507 of the family's 1533-position model. The record is from RNAcentral.
AUUGAACGCUGGCGGCAGGCCUAACACAUGCAAGUCGAGCGGAUGAAGGGAGCUUGCUCCUGGAUUCAGCGGCGGACGGGUGAGUAAUGCCUAGGAAUCUGCCUGGUAGUGGGGGAUAACGUCCGGAAACGGGCGCUAAUACCGCAUACGUCCUGAGGGAGAAAGUGGGGGAUCUUCGGACCUCACGCUAUCAGAUGAGCCUAGGUCGGAUUAGCUAGUUGGUGGGGUAAAGGCCUACCAAGGCGACGAUCCGUAACUGGUCUGAGAGGAUGAUCAGUCAAAGUGGAAAUGGGAAACGGUCGAGACUACUAAGGGAGGAAGAAGUGGGGAAGAUUGGAGAAGGGGCGAAAGCCUGAUCCAGCCAUGCCGCGUGUGUGAAGAAGGUAUUCGAAUUUUAAAGCACUUUAAGUUGGGAGGAAGGGCAGGAAGUUAAUACCUUGCUGGUUUGACGUGACCAACAGAAUAAGCACAGGCUAACUUCGGG